RNAcentral lists this ribosomal RNA (273 nucleotides) under uncultured soil bacterium. Its description in RNAcentral is "partial 16S ribosomal RNA". It matches the Rfam family "Bacterial small subunit ribosomal RNA", at positions 26 to 285 of the family's 1533-position model. The record is from RNAcentral.
AGAAUCAACGCUGGCGGCGUGCCUAACACAUGCAAGUCGAACGCGAAAGCCCCGAAAGGGGUAAGUAGAGUGGCAAACGGGUGAGUAACACGUGGGUGACCUGCCUUCGAGUGGGGGAUAACGUCCCGAAAGGGACGCUAAUACCGCAUAACAUCCUGCCUUUGAAGAGGUGGAGAUCAAAGCCGGGACCGCAAGGCCUGGCGUUCGAAGGAGGGGCCCGCGCCUGAUUAGCUAGGUUGGUGGGGUAAUGGCUCACCAAGGCAACGAUCAGUA